UUUGUUUUUUGUACUUAGGACAAAUGUUAAGUAUUCUAGAUUAGUGGUUCUCAAAUUACCCUUAAAGAAACACAGAUCAUGCCUCUUGACCCCUUUUGUUAUAUUUGCCAAAUGAGGCCCCCUGGGAUAAAUUUCCCAGCCAUAUAGCUAAUGAUAAAAUUCCCCGAGUGCAGGGAGGCAGACGAGAAAAGACUGCAAACUCUUUUUCCAACAUAUUCUGAAAAUCAUCUCCUGACCCCUCCCAGCUUUUUGAUCAGACAAGCAGCUUAUUCUUCCCUCGCAGAGCAGAUCACCUGAACCUCUUUCAAGAUCAUGUGAUCAUCUCACCAGAUCAAACUCACUUGAACAGGAGACCGCUGUGACCCAAAGCCCGUGUUUGAAGAUGUUUGAUGUGCCAGCCUAGGCACCCAACCUCGGGUACAAAGCCGUCUCCCCUGAUGGUGCUUCAGUGGCGACCUGCGGGAUAAUUUAUGCUGCGUGUGCAACAGUGUUGUCCACCUUCCAUUGAUCUGCUAAAUCUCCAUAAGAUCUUCCCUCAGACCAAAGGAAAAACUCUAGAGGAAAACAGAAAUGAAGGUCAACAAGAUGUCAAGUGCAGCUGGACGGAAGGCAAAUCCACGGCGCACCUUACGGACACAGCGGGAACAUGAAUAUAAACUUAGAAAAACUUGAAACAAAAGCAACAAAGGGUCAAAC
Brienomyrus brachyistius is the source of this 696-nucleotide long non-coding RNA. RefSeq lists it as uncharacterized. Lineage: Eukaryota; Metazoa; Chordata; Actinopteri; Osteoglossiformes; Mormyridae. The record is from RefSeq and is a predicted model, not a curated record. The transcript is spliced from 4 exons.